RNAcentral lists this ribosomal RNA (497 nucleotides) under uncultured bacterium. RNAcentral describes it as "partial 16S ribosomal RNA". It matches the Rfam family "Bacterial small subunit ribosomal RNA", at positions 28 to 507 of the family's 1533-position model. The record is from RNAcentral.
GAUGAACGCUGGCGGCGUGCCUAAUACAUGCAAGUCGAGCGAACAGACGAGGAGCUUGCUCCUCUGACGUUAGCGGCGGACGGGUGAGUAACACGUGGAUAACCUACCUAUAAGACUGGGAUAACUUCGGGAAACCGGAGCUAAUACCGGAUAAUAUAUUGAACCGCAUGGUUCAAUAGUGAAAGACGGUUUUGCUGUCACUUAUAGAUGGAUCCGCGCCGCAUUAGCUAGUUGGUAAGGUAACGGCUUACCAAGGCAACGAUGCGUAGCCGACCUGAGAGGAUGAUCGGCCACACUGGAACUGAGACACGGUCCAGACUCCUACGGGAGGCAGCAGUAGGGAAUCUUGCGCAAUGGGCGAAAGCUUGACGGAGCAACGCCGCGUGAGUGAUGAAGGUCUUCGGAUCGUAAAACUCUGUUAUUAGGGAAGAACAAAUGUGUAAGUAACUAGGCACGUCUUGACGGUACCUAAUCAGAAAGCCACGGCUAACUACGUG